GCAUGGCUUUGGAAGCAAAUAACUGUGAUGCUGUAAACGCUUUCUGAUGUG
This is a small nucleolar RNA of Serinus canaria (Common canary), 51 nucleotides long. The record is from Ensembl. Lineage: Eukaryota; Metazoa; Chordata; Aves; Passeriformes; Fringillidae.